Molecule: ribosomal RNA, 507 nt
Filed under: uncultured bacterium
Lineage: Bacteria
Description: bacterial SSU rRNA
Rfam family: Bacterial small subunit ribosomal RNA
Source: RNAcentral
GCGUGAGGGACGACGGCCUUCGGGUUGUAAACCUCUUUUAGUAGGGAAGAAGCGAAAGUGACGGUACCUGCAGAAAAAGCACCGGCUAACUACGUGCCAGCAGCCGCGGUAAUACGUAGGGUGCAAGCGUUAUCCGGAAUUAUUGGGCGUAAAGAGCUCGUAGGCGGUUUGUCGCGUCUGCUGUGAAACCCCGAGGCUCAACCUCGGGCCUGCAGUGGGUACGGGCAGACUAGAGUGCGGUAGGGGAGAUUGGAAUUCCUGGUGUAGCGGUGGAAUGCGCAGAUAUCAGGAGGAACACCGAUGGCGAAGGCAGAUCUCUGGGCCGUAACUGACGCUGAGGAGCGAAAGGGUGGGGAGCAAACAGGCUUAGAUACCCUGGUAGUCCACCCCGUAAACGUUGGGAACUAGUUGUGGGGUCCAUUCCACGGAUUCCGUGACGCAGCUAACGCAUUAAGUUCCCCGCCUGGGGAGUACGGCCGCAAGGCUAAAACUCAAAGGAAUUGACGG